RNAcentral lists this non-coding RNA (210 nucleotides) under Halobacillus sp. RNAcentral's name for it is "T-box sequence". It matches the Rfam family "T-box leader". Rfam says of the family: Uncharged tRNA acts as the effector for transcription antitermination of genes in the T-box leader family. The record is from RNAcentral. Lineage: Bacteria; Bacillati; Bacillota; Bacilli; Caryophanales; Bacillaceae.
AGAAGCGCGUGGAACGAUUGAAGUAAACAGCAAGUCCCUGCUGCAGAGAGCUGACGGUCGGUGGAAGUCAGUGCAUACUUGUUUGUUGAAUUACGAUCCGGAGCAUCUCCUGGUGUGAAUCAGGAGACGGUGAACAGCCGUUAUGGAUACAAGUGGCACAGCUGUUGUUGUGCAACAAGGGUGGUACCGCGAUAAGACCUCGUCCCUUUU